GCUCGGUUGGUGUAGUCCGGCCAAUCAUGUUGGCCUUUCGACGAACGCGGCAUCCGUGGUGCCGGUUCGGAAGACAGCCGACGACCAGGGUUCAAAUCCCUGACCGAGCA
This 110-nucleotide transfer RNA is filed under the name uncultured archaeon A07HR67. Its description in RNAcentral is "tRNA-Glu". It matches the Rfam family "tRNA". Rfam says of the family: Transfer RNA (tRNA) molecules are approximately 80 nucleotides in length. Their secondary structure includes four short double-helical elements and three loops (D, anti-codon, and T loops). Further hydrogen bonds mediate the characteristic L-shaped molecular structure. tRNAs have two regions of fundamental functional importance: the anti-codon, which is responsible for specific mRNA codon recognition, and the 3' end, to which the tRNAs corresponding amino acid is attached (by aminoacyl-tRNA synthetases). tRNAs cope with the degeneracy of the genetic code in two manners: having more than one tRNA (with a specific anti-codon) for a particular amino acid; and 'wobble' base-pairing, i.e. permitting non-standard base-pairing at the 3rd anti-codon position. The record is from RNAcentral.